RNAcentral lists this ribosomal RNA (263 nucleotides) under uncultured archaeon. Its description in RNAcentral is "partial 16S ribosomal RNA". It matches the Rfam family "Archaeal small subunit ribosomal RNA", at positions 717 to 982 of the family's 1478-position model. The record is from RNAcentral.
ACACGACUACAUUAGAUACCCCUGUAGUCCUAGCCGUAAACGAUACUCGCUAGGUGUCGGCCACGGUGCGACCGUUGUCGGUGCCGUAGGGAAGCCGUGAAGCGAGUCACCUGGGAAGUACGGCCGCAAGGCUGAAACUUAAGGAAUUGGCGGGGAGCACCACAACGGGUGGAGCUUGCGGUUUAAUUGGAUUCAACGCCGGAAAUCUUACCGGGACCGACAGCAACAUGAAGGCCAGGCUGAAGACUUUGCCGGAUUAGCUG